The sequence is an RNase P RNA, 347 nucleotides long. It matches the Rfam family "Archaeal RNase P". From Rfam's summary of the family: Ribonuclease P (RNase P) is a ubiquitous endoribonuclease, found in archaea, bacteria and eukarya as well as chloroplasts and mitochondria. Its best characterised activity is the generation of mature 5'-ends of tRNAs by cleaving the 5'-leader elements of precursor-tRNAs.
GUGAGUCGGGGAGAUGGCUUCGCCGAUUUCGGUGAGGAAGCUCCGUACACCCACCCGUAAGGGACCACACCACCGCAAGGUGGAGGCUGAGAAGCCUUGGUCCGGUAAAGAAACCAACUGCAGUCCUCUAAACAAUGAAAUCGGGAAAAUCCCCGGUAACGGGGAUCUGUACGAAGAGUUUUGAGGAGGAUUGCAGGUGAGAGAGACCGGCCAUGUGGGGGUGCAAGCAAGGCCUUUAUGGCCGCGGCGCUUAGACAAAUGCCAUCAACCCAUUCACAUGUGGUCUUUGGUUGCACAAACCAAAGACUGCUGUGUGGGUGACAAAAAACGGGCUAUCCCCGAGACAC